This 438-nucleotide long non-coding RNA is filed under the name Olea europaea (common olive). RNAcentral describes it as "long non-coding RNA (OEUR_LNC005462)". The record is from RNAcentral. Lineage: Eukaryota; Viridiplantae; Streptophyta; Magnoliopsida; Lamiales; Oleaceae.
GCAUCAUCCAUAGAAAUAUAGGCUGGUGGUGUGCAAGAGUAGAUUCAGUAUAUAUCGAGAGAGUAUAUUGGAUAGGUUUAGGAACAUUGAAUUGGCAUUUUUCCAUCGAUUCGUUGAAUUUGUGAAAUUAGGGUUUUUAAUAGUCAAUUGGGGAUUCGAGAUCCUAAUGAUUGUAUUUCAAUUUAUUUCUAUACAUUAACUUCCAAAAAUUGUGUAUUUACAUUUUAAUUGAGUUUUUGAGUCAUUCAAUUAGUGAAAUUUCGAAAUUAGGGUUUCCAAUUUCGAAAUUAGGGUUUCAAAUUGGGGAUUUCUCCCACAAUUAGGGGUUUUCACAUUUAAAUCAAAUUUUCAUUCAAUUAGAUUCGGUUAAGGUCACAUUAGUCUAAUUAGAGCUAAUUCAAUCCUCGUGGGAACGAUACUUGGACUCAUAGUCCAUUU